GUGGGGAAUCUUAGACAAUGGGGGAAACCCUGAUCUAGCCAUGCCGCGUGAGCGAUGAAGGCCUUAGGGUUGUAAAGCUCUUUCAGCUGGGAAGAUAAUGACGGUACCAGCAGAAGGAGCCCCGGCUAACUCCGUGCCAGCAGCCGCGGUAAUACGGAGGGGGCUAGCGUUGUUCGGAAUUACUGGGCGUAAAGCGCGCGUAGGCGGACCAGAAAGUUGGAGGUGAAAUCCCAGGGCUCAACCUUGGAACUGCCUUCAAAACUCCUGGUCUGGAGUUCGAGAGAGGUGAGUGGAAUUCCGAGUGUAGAGGUGAAAGUCGUAGAUAUUCGGAGGAACACCAGUGGCGAAGGCGGCUCACUGGCUCGAUACUGACGCUGAGGUGCGAAAGCGUGGGGAGCAAACAGGAUUAGAAACCCGAGUAGUCC
Molecule: ribosomal RNA, 425 nt
Filed under: uncultured bacterium
Lineage: Bacteria
Description: partial 16S ribosomal RNA
Rfam family: Bacterial small subunit ribosomal RNA
Source: RNAcentral